UACGUAGGGUGCGAGCGUUGUCCGGAAUUAUUGGGCGUAAAGAGCUCGUAGGCGGCCGGUUGCGUCUGCUGUGAAAUCCCGGGGCUUAACCCCGGGCGUGCAGUGGAUACGGGCUGGCUGGAGGCAGGCAGGGGAGAAUGGAAUUCCCGGUGUAGCGGUGAAAUGCGUAGAUAUCGUAAGGAAGACCAGUGGCGAAGGCGGGUCUCUGGACAGUUCCUGACGCUGAGGCACGAAGGUCAGGGGAGCAAACGGG
Molecule: ribosomal RNA, 253 nt
Filed under: uncultured bacterium
Lineage: Bacteria
Description: partial 16S ribosomal RNA
Rfam family: Bacterial small subunit ribosomal RNA
Source: RNAcentral